Molecule: long non-coding RNA, 547 nt
Organism: Panonychus citri (citrus red mite)
Lineage: Eukaryota; Metazoa; Arthropoda; Arachnida; Trombidiformes; Tetranychidae
Exons: 3
Source: RefSeq, a predicted model, not a curated record
CGGGAAUCAAAUCAGCAGCGAAAUCAUCUUCGUACAAAUAGUCGUACAUGUGUUUAAAAUUUCCACCCCAAGGCGAGGCUGCGAAAACCACCGCUCUUAUGUAAUGAUUUUUCCAGUAAAUGUUUUGCUUACGGAGAAAAAGAGACUCAAAGAAUUCAUCUUGUUCAUCUGAAAAGUAAAUCGAGUUAAUUAUAUACGAAAUUAUUUGAUUGGAGACACAAUUAAACUUACGAGGAGAUUUACGCCAAUCAUAUGGAGCUCCGAAGAUGUUGAUUCCUCUGGAAUAUCCUAAUUGCUCCAAUGAGUUGAUUAUAUUAACGUAAUACUCAGCUGAUUAUUCAAUGUCAUGAAUUGGGUGAAAAAGAAACAAAAAACUGAUUAAAAGCAGAAUUCAAAUGAUGAGACAAAUAUUCUGAAGCAACGAUGAGGCCACAAUUUAGAGAAGAAUAGAAAAUUCUUACUUGGUCGAACUUGAAAAGGAAAAGGAGAAAUAUAUUCUAUCGAUGCUGUAUCUCCCAUCGGCGGAACCAGAAUUUGUACUCCAGGA